UUUUUACACCUGAAAUCAGCUCACUUCUCCUGAAGGUUGAACUGGAGUGUCAGAAACAGAAGAGCCAGGUACGCUCCAGAGUGUUCCAGUACCUCUCAAACUUCCUGCCCUGCACCAGGAAGACGAUCCUUAAACGAGCGAGGAAGCUGGUGAUCGCACACACGCCCAGUGAUCUGACGUCCACUUCACAACCUGAAGGAGACCA
Thalassophryne amazonica is the source of this 205-nucleotide long non-coding RNA. RefSeq lists it as uncharacterized. The transcript is spliced from 3 exons. The record is from RefSeq and is a predicted model, not a curated record. NCBI's taxonomy places the organism in Eukaryota, Metazoa, Chordata, Actinopteri, Batrachoidiformes, Batrachoididae.